GACGAACGCUGGCGGCGUGCUUAACACAUGCAAGUCGAACGGAAAGGCCCUGCUUUUGUGGGGUGCUCGAGUGGCGAACGGGUGAGUAACACGUAAGUAACCUGCCCUUGACCUUGGGAUAACUUCAGGAAACUGGGGCUAAUACCGGAUAGGAGCUCCUGCUGCAUGGUGGGGGUUGGAAAGUUUCGGCGGUUGGGGAUGGACUCGCGGCUUAUCAGCUUGUUGGUGGGGUAGUGGCUUACCAAGGCUUUGACGGGUAGCCGGCCUGAGAGGGUGACCGGCCACAUUGGGACUGAGAUACGGCCCAGACUCCUACGGGAGGCAGCAGUGGGGAAUAUUGCACAAUGGGCGGAAGCCUGAUGCAGCAACGCCGCGUGCGGGAUGACGGCCUUCGGGUUGUAAACCGCUUUCGCCUGUGACGAAGCGUGAGUGACGGUAAUGGGUAAAGAAGCACCGGCUAACUACGUG
Molecule: ribosomal RNA, 468 nt
Filed under: uncultured bacterium
Lineage: Bacteria
Description: partial 16S ribosomal RNA
Rfam family: Bacterial small subunit ribosomal RNA
Source: RNAcentral